RNAcentral lists this ribosomal RNA (253 nucleotides) under uncultured bacterium. Its description in RNAcentral is "partial 16S ribosomal RNA". It matches the Rfam family "Bacterial small subunit ribosomal RNA", at positions 524 to 776 of the family's 1533-position model. The record is from RNAcentral.
UACGUAGGUGGCAAGCGUUGUCCGGAUUUACUGGGCGUAAAGAGCGCGCAGGCGGUCAAGUAAGUCGAAUGUGAAAGCCCCUGGCUCAACCAGGGAGGGUCGUUCGAUACUGCUCGACUCGAAGGCAGGAGAGGGAAGUGGAAUUCCGGGUGUAGUGGUGAAAUGCGUAGAUAUCCGGAGGAACACCAGUGGCGAAGGCGACUUUCUGGCCUGUUCUUGACGCUGAGGCGCGAAAGCUAGGGGAGCAAACGGG